RNAcentral lists this ribosomal RNA (504 nucleotides) under uncultured bacterium. Its description in RNAcentral is "partial 16S ribosomal RNA". It matches the Rfam family "Bacterial small subunit ribosomal RNA", at positions 30 to 523 of the family's 1533-position model. The record is from RNAcentral.
AUUGAACGCUGGCGGCAGGCCUAACACAUGCAAGUCGAACGGUAGCACAGAGAGCUUGCUCUUGGGUGACGAGUGGCGGACGGGUGAGUAAUGUCUGGGAAACUGCCCGAUGGAGGGGGAUAACUACUGGAAACGGUAGCUAAUACCGCAUAACGUCUUCGGACCAAAGUGGGGGACCUUCGGGCCUCACACCAUCGGAUGUGCCCAGAUGGGAUUAGCUAGUAGGUGGGGUAAUGGCUCACCUAGGCGACGAUCCCUAGCUGGUCUGAGAGGAUGACGAGCCACACUGGAAUUGAGACAGGGUCCAGAGUCCUACGGGAGGCAGCAGUGUGGAAUAUUGCACAAUGGGCGCAAGCCUGAUGCAGCCAUGCCGCGUGUAUGAAGAAGGCCUUCGGGUUGUAAAGUACUUUCAGCGGGGAGGAAGGCGAUGAGGUUAAUAACCGCAUCGAUUGACGUUACCCGCAGAAGAAGCACCGGCUAACUCCGUGCCAGCCGCCGCCGUAA